This is a microRNA precursor of Oryza rufipogon (brownbeard rice), 206 nucleotides long. It matches the Rfam family "MIR812 microRNA precursor family". NCBI's taxonomy places the organism in Eukaryota, Viridiplantae, Streptophyta, Magnoliopsida, Poales, Poaceae. The record is from Rfam.
AAUAAGUGUACUUUUGCACUGUUCAUGUCCAACGUUUAACCGUUUAUCUUAUUUGAAAUUUUUUUAUAAUUAUUACUUUUAUUGUUAUUAGAUGAUAAAACACGAAUAAUACUCUAAGUAUGACUAUUUGUUUUUAAUUUUUCAUAAUUUUUUAAAUAAGACAGACGGUUAAACGUUAGACACGAAUACCCACGACUGCACUUAUU